Molecule: long non-coding RNA, 3938 nt
Organism: Cygnus olor (mute swan)
Lineage: Eukaryota; Metazoa; Chordata; Aves; Anseriformes; Anatidae
Exons: 2
Source: RefSeq, a predicted model, not a curated record
CGCGUGCCGGGCCGUUGGCGGCCGUUGGGGGCGGGCGCCUGACGGCUGCCCCUCACGGCUACCCCUCACGGCUCCGCCCAUGCCGUACGGAGCUUGCUUCCUGCUCUUCCCGCUCCACAAAGCGCUUUUUCUGCGUGGUUACCGGGAAGGACACGUCGCUUCGCCAGCUUACUUGCUUCGUUCUGACAAGAGAUUGAACCGAAGUAGUUCAAAGGGCCUUAUCAAGUGUGCCUCGCGGUGUUCCGUGCAGCAGGAGUUUGUGGUUUGGCCGAGAAAGAGCGCAGCAGCUGCAGGGAGACCUGGGGAGGAGGGCAUGUUCUGAAAUAGCUGUCUUGGGCAAUUCUGUGCCUUUAAAAAUGAAGUUAACUGAUUGCGCCGAGGCACGGCGUUUUGUGCUUGUUUUGGCCUGUCCUACUUAAGAAUAGGCAGUGUGGAAACCUUGCGGAGUUUUCCAAGUGUAUUGAGGAGCACGUCGAAGGUUACAGGAAGCCAGCACGGACAACUAAAGUCUGAAAGGAAUGAUUAAUCAAAUGCAAUUUUAAGGCCGACGGUCCGUUUCUUGUUGCCCUUUGGGGUAUUCCAGUUCACUUUGUGUAUAAAUGAAAAAAAAAUAAAUCUUAAUGAUAGAGGUCCAAAAAUAGUUUAAUCAAAAAUGAGAUAGUAUGCAUUGGCUCAUCUGUGGUAUAGCUGUUCCUUUGUAAAUUUAAGAAGCACCAGGGGAAUAAAACAUUUUCAGUUGAGCUUGCCAGAGAAACAGAGUGAGUCACCGUCACUGCUUUUUUCUAAAUUAAGGUACUGACUAGCAUCCUGUCCUUAGAGGCUAAAGUAUUUGGGGAGAGCCUCUGACAAUCCAAACAUUCUUAGGUCAUUAACUGAGAAACCUCAUGUAUUCGGGAGAGUUACAUCUCAAAUACCAAAAGUCAUAGCUGUUAGGAAAAAGAAGGAAAUGAUGGCUCAGCAGCUAAAGGAAAGGACUGUAAACUGGUGUGCUUUACAUCUCGGAGAACAACAUUCUCUUCUGUUGCUGUAAAUUAAGGCGCAGAUCAAAGCACCUGUGAAAUUAUCUGAAAGAUGAGAUUAUACCCCGUGUAGAAGUGGCUAAGGAAACAAGUGAUUAAUAUGGUGGUGGGGAAACUACAGUUUGAUUCUUUUAAGUAUUCAGAAGCAAAUUUGCAGUGGAUGAAUGUAAGUAGCAAUCCAGUUUUGUCGUUAGUAAUGCAUGAAAGAAGAAAUAAGAUGCGUUUGUGUAUACCCAGUCUUAAGAGAAUUAAACAUGGAUUCAAGAUUCCUCAUCAGCCAAAGGAUCAGAGUCCUAGUAUGUCAGGUCAGCUACUGCAGAAGCCGAGGUCUUUGAAGCAGUGUUAGCCUGGCUGUUCUCUAAUAACAGAGGGACAAACUGGUAGAAUUUAAAGGAGAUACUAGGUAAAUGUAGAAUGAAAACUGGUAUGAAACUUGCUCAGCAACAGUCAUUGGCCUCUUCUAAUGCAGCAGGAAAGCUAUGCCAUCAGAUCUCAACAGCUAUUAUAUUUUGCCAAAAUUGUGCCCUUAUGGGAAAAAAAAAAGCUUGCAAGGUAGUAGCAGUUUUUCAAGCUCACAUUGUCAUGGAGCACUGAGUAACCUUCAGAGUAACUUCGGUAUUGCAGUACAUGCAUAACUGUUCAUUCAUAGCAAUAUAAUAGGGCAGGCUUUUCAGACUAUGUUGAUUUGUUCAUAAAGGUGGUUAAAAGAAAUAUGUCAAUGAACUCCACUGAGUAAAACAGCAAAAAAAAAAAAAAUUCUGAAAGGCUAGUAAUGACCUUCCAAACAAGGCUUGUAAUGGAGUGUACUGGUGUCCUGGGCUACCUUAGAGAGGGGUGUUGCUACCACGUUGAGGGACGUGAUCCUUCUUCUCUCCUCAUCACACUUGGCGAUGCCACACUUGGACUGUUGUAUCCAGUUCUGUGCUCCUCUGUACAAGAAGGAGGUGGAGUUACUGCAGAGAGUCCAACAAAGAGCCACAAAAAUGGUCAGGGGACUGGAGCACCUCUUGUAGGAGGAAAGGCUGGGAGAGCUGGGUCAGUUCAGCCUGAAGAAGGGGAGGCUCAGGCGAAUCUCAUCAAUGUACGUGAAUACCUGAAGGGAUGGCGCAAAGAGGGCAGAGCCAGGCUCUUUUCUGUGCUGUCCUGGGACUGGGCACCACUGAAACACAAGAGGUUCCUCCUGAGCGUCAGGAAGCAUGACUUCACUGUGACUGAGCAAUGGGAUAGGUUACCCAGAGAGCUUGUGGUGUCUCCAUUCUUGGAUGUAUUCAAAAGCCAUCUGAGCAUGGUCCUGCUUGAGCAGGGAGGGUGCACCAGAUGGCCUCUGGAGUUCUCUUCCAGCCUCAACCACUCUGUGACUCUGUACACUAACCAGAAGUGGGUUAGGUAGCCCCCAAUCACCCUGGCUUGUGGUUGAUUUACACAUUUUAGAAAAGUGAAAAGUGAAACAAUUACUGGGGAGUGCCUCUGUCAUCUAAGAGAACAUGAGCUGCAUGGAGAGCUGUGCAGCGCUGCUGCCGAGAAAAUGCUGCAGCACUUCAGUGUGUAGAUCACAUCGCUAACCUGGAAACUGCACAUGUGGUAGGCCGAGUCAACCUCACGAGCAGGGCUGUUGGAAGUAGCAGAUACUCAGCCAACAAGCUAGAUUAUUAUGUUUCAAAGAGCCAAAGGUUUCUGAGAGCCACAAGUGCUCUAUCGCUAGUGAGCUGAAAUGUAAGCUUGGGAAUUUAGUUGAUGUCAUUUUUAUUUUUUUUAAAGAAUUGGGUUAAAUGCCAGAACUUUUAUACAGGGAGUACUUUGAGUCAUUGCUAUCCCUGGGCAGUCUCCAAGCAGUGAUUUUUAAUACGAUUUUAAGUUAGCAAGCCAGUGACAAAUAGUUUUGCAAAGUUGCAUGUGUUUAUCUGUGAUUUUUGUGCCUUGCAAUAUCAUUUACCUGAGCCUGUUUAUGCUAGUUCUUAGACAUGAUCUCAGUUCAGGUUCGUGUUGGAAAAACAAGGAAACUACAGAAUCCAAAUUCAGCACAGAAGGGGACAUACUGAACGCUUCUCAGCUGCACUGAUUGUAGACUGCCUAGGCAGAUCCAGACAUAAUAAAUGCUGAACAGGGCUGGUGAUAGGAUGAUACCAUAUAGAACUGCUCAUACAUAUUUGUGGAUGUGUAGGGUGGGUCGUUAAUUGUCUGUCGUAAAAGGUUGGGUCAUCUGUGGAUUGAACAACUAGAACCACUGCAAAGUGAUCUCAUAGUGCUGUCUAAAUUGUCUUCUGCAUGCUGAUGUUGUGAACAAGAACAGAAAUACUCCUCUAAGUGUUUAUACAAACAUUCCAGCUAGCGUGUAACUCCUACAGAAUGCUUCAGGCUGAAGCGAAAUUACACCCCUCUGAAUCUUUGAACACCUUGAAUAAACUAGUUCUAGUACAAAGCAUUUUUAAGAAAACGAGGUCUCAACCGAGAAGCUUGAUUUGAUGUUUGGUCAGUUCCAAACUACCACUAUUGUAAUAUGAUUUCUGUCCAAAUACAAGAUUGUCGUAUUCUUGGUUAACUAGCUGUGCAAUUCCUUAAAAUAGUUGAGAUGGAGGAGAAUAUUCCUUAGCAUGCUUCAAAGUACUGUAGCAUUGUGAGUAUUGUGAGGUGUCCUGAAAUUGCUAUUAUUUUUUUAAUUGCUGUUAUUGUGUUAAUGCAACUAUUGCAGACAAGCAUUUUUAAGAGGUUUCUGUUGAUAGUGUAAUUCAAACUUUAGUGUGGGCAAGCCAAAUAGCUAUGUCUGUUUGUUGUUAGUGGGAGUCUUUUUCUGGCAAAAGGUUGUGGUUUUUUUAAGAGUAUGUCUGUGUGAAGUGUGACUAGAAGCUGACUGCGUGAAAGUGUUAUUGACUUUGUGAUGGCUUAGAAACACUCUUCCAAUAAAACAUCCGUCAAAAAGCA